Molecule: ribosomal RNA, 484 nt
Filed under: uncultured bacterium
Lineage: Bacteria
Description: partial 16S ribosomal RNA
Rfam family: Bacterial small subunit ribosomal RNA
Source: RNAcentral
AUUGAACGCUGGCGGCAGGCCUAACACAUGCAAGUCGAGCGGAAGAAGGGAGCUUGCUCCUGGUUUCAGCGGCGGACGGGUGGGUAAUGCCUAGGAAUCUGCCUGGCAGUUGGGGAUAACGCCCGGAAACGGGCGCUAAUACUGCAUACGACCUGAUGGUGCAAGUUAGGGAUCUUCGCACCUCACGCACUCUGAUGAGCCUAGGUCGGAUUAGCUAGUUGGUGGGGUAAAGGCCUACCAAGCCGACGAUCCGUAUCUGGUCUUAGAGGAUGAUCAGUCACACUGGAACUGAGACACGGUCCAGACUCCUACGGGAGGCAGCAGUGGGGAAUAUUGGACAAUGGGCGAAAGCCUGAUGCAGCCAUGCCGCGUGUGUGAAGAAGGUCUUCGGAUUGUAAAGCACUUUAAGUUGGGAAGAAAGGCAGUAAGUUUAUAUCUUGCUGUUUUGACGGUACCAACAGAAAAAGCACCGGCUAACUUCGUG